RNAcentral lists this unclassified non-coding RNA (470 nucleotides) under Hevea brasiliensis (rubber tree). Lineage: Eukaryota; Viridiplantae; Streptophyta; Magnoliopsida; Malpighiales; Euphorbiaceae. The record is from RNAcentral.
GCUAUUUCAUGUUUGCUAAUUAAUCUGGUUGAUCCACAAUUGUCCGAGGCAGGUCUGAAGUCAUGUUUUAAGUAAGCAUUAUUUGAUGUAGUGUUGUCCUUCAGAUAUUCGGAAUGCACCAAAUUUCCCAUUUUGUCUUCUCUUGCCGUCUCAAGCUUAAGGGUAGAACAAGUGAUCAUCUUUUCUCAAAUAUCUCCCUUUUUCCAUUUUUAUCCUUUUGUGUUCUGUUUUCCUUUGUUAUUUUAUCUUCCUCCUACUUCUUGAUCUCAUUUGCCUUAAUCAUCAUUUGGGCCAUGUUUCAUGCCACUUCAUCUCCAUUGUUUCUUUCUUAACUUGGGGUUAUUCUUUUCGCAUCCCGUUGUUAGCCUUGUCUUGUCCAGUUAUUGUCCAUGCUCUCCAGUCUAAUCUUUGUUCCCUCAGGAUUUCUAUGUACUUUUGGUUUCAUCCAUGUAUGUGUACUUGAGAAGCCU